GUUUGUGUGAUGUGUGUGUGACGUGUGUGUGUGUGUGAUGUGUGAUAUGUGAUGUGUGUGUGUGUGUGUGAUAUGUGUGUGAUGUGUGCGUAAUGUGUGUGUGUGUGAUGUGUGUGUGUGUAUAUGUGAUGUGUAUGUGCGUGUGUGAUGUGUGUGUGAUAUGUGUGAUGUGUGUUUGGGUGUGUGUGUGAUGUGUAUGAUGUGUGUGUGAUGUAUGUGAUGUGUGUGUGUGUGUGUGUGUGUGUG
RNAcentral lists this long non-coding RNA (246 nucleotides) under Lathyrus oleraceus (garden pea). RNAcentral describes it as "Pisum sativum (pea) long non-coding RNA (PSAT_LNC040622)". Lineage: Eukaryota; Viridiplantae; Streptophyta; Magnoliopsida; Fabales; Fabaceae. The record is from RNAcentral.